UGCAGCCAAUAGGCCCUUGAUUGCUGCAGCACCAACCAGCUUCAAUGGGCAAAUUGCUUUAAUGCACCUCCUAGAUCGUGGUCUACCCUUUGUUCAAAAGCUGCUUUUUCCUACUAGCUGGUCCUUAGCUAUAUCGCAGUUUUCCAAUGUGUGUUUGCAGUUGUUUCUUUUGCAGCUAAUCAUGUCGAAAGUGGCUGGAUGCCCCCUACUGCCAUUAUUUGCUCAGUUAUUUCCAGAUGCAUUGGUAUUGAACACCACUUGACUGCCAGCAAAUACUGGUACCUUCUUAGCAAGAGACCCAUGCCUUCCAUCGUCUUUGAGAUAGUACUAUGAUUUGUGGAGCCUGUAACACCUGAGUUUAUAAUUCCACCAAGGGCUUUUGUCAACUGAAACUCAUGCCAAGCCACUACCCUCUGCAAGCCUCUCUUCUCAGCCUUCAAAUGAUUACUCUCUGCCAACUAACAAGUUUUGCUGGUCUCUUCCUAUUUAAAAACCAAAUUUCCUACUGAUUCAGCAAUGAAGUCUCAGUCUCUAAUGGUCUGAAGGAUGCCUCAGGGUCUCAGUUCAUUUGUAAAGCAAAGGUCAAUGAAAUACUCAGAGCCAAACCUUUUCAAGCCCAGAUUAUCACCUGAUACUUCCUCAGGAGCCAGAAAUAUAUUACUGAGGGACUUCCCUGGUGGCACAGUGGUUAAGAAUCCACCUGUCAAUACAGGGGACACAAGUUCGAGCCCUGUUCCAGGAAGAUCCCACAUGCCAUGGAGCAUCUAAGCCCGUGUGCCAAACUACUGAGCCUGUGUGCCACAACUACUGAAGCCCACGCGCCUAGAACCCGUGCUCUGCAACAAGAGAAGCCACUGCAAUGAGAAGGCCGUGCACCGCAACGAAGAGUGGACCCCGCUCACCACAACUAGAGAAAUCCCACGUGCAGCAACAAAGACCCAAUGCAGCAAAAAAUUUUAAAAAUAGAUAAAUAAUAUUUUUAAAAAAGAAAUACAUUACUGAGAUUGUAAUUACCACAAAAAAGAGAAAUGUACUUGUUUAAUGAAGUGGAUGACAUUUUACUUGCUCUGGGCUAGGAUAAACAAUAUCCAUUAAGUGUUUGGGACUUGCUCGUAACCUUGGUAAAAUAAAAAUCAGUAAGUUUUUUUUCCUUGUGAAUUGGGGGAAAAAGAGAAUGAAAGAGCACGUAGAUCUCACUUUUAUGAUUGCUUAGGGCUCUGACCUCCAUAUUAUAAUCACUGAUUAAAUAUAGUAAUUUUAUAUU
Molecule: non-coding RNA, 1264 nt
Organism: Kogia breviceps (pygmy sperm whale)
Lineage: Eukaryota; Metazoa; Chordata; Mammalia; Artiodactyla; Physeteridae
Source: RefSeq, a predicted model, not a curated record